GCCUUUGUGGUCUAGCGGUUAUGAUACCCAUUGCCAUUUCAACACGACUAACUAUCGUGGGUUGUUUGGGAGACUCCAGUUCAAAUCUGGACAUGGGCA
Molecule: non-coding RNA, 99 nt
Organism: Hyaloscypha hepaticicola
Lineage: Eukaryota; Fungi; Ascomycota; Leotiomycetes; Helotiales; Hyaloscyphaceae
Source: the annotation of a GenBank genome assembly